Molecule: ribosomal RNA, 499 nt
Filed under: uncultured bacterium
Lineage: Bacteria
Description: partial 16S ribosomal RNA
Rfam family: Bacterial small subunit ribosomal RNA
Source: RNAcentral
GACGAACGCUGGCGGCGUGCUUAACACAUGCAAGUCGAACGGGCCCGCCCCUGUUUUUGGGGGUGGGUUGAGUGGCGAACGGGUGAGUAUCACGUGAGUAACCUGCCCCCUGCUCCUGGAUAACUGCUUGAAAGGGCGGCUAAUACGGGGUGUGCCGGCUGGUCCGCAUGGGCCUGGUCGGGAUAGUUUCAUCUUCGGGUGUUUCGGUGGGGGAUGGGCUCGCGGCCUAUCAGCUUGUUGGUGGGGUGAUGGCCCACCAAGGCGGUGACGGGUAGCCGGCCUGGGAGGGUGGGCGGCCACACUGGGACUGAGACACGGCCCAGACUCCUGCGGGAGGCAGCAGUGGGGGGUAUUGCACAAUGGGCGGAAGCCUGAUGCAGCGACGGCGCGUGAGGGAUGGAGGCCUUCGGGUUGUGAACCUCUUUCUCCGGUGGUGAAGGCCCUGUCCGUUGCGGCGGGGUUGACGGUAGCCGGGUAUGAAGCGCCGGCUAACUACGUG